GCCGGGUGUGGUGGCUCAUGCCUGUAAUCCCAGCACUUAGGGGGGCUGAGGCGGGUGGAUCACCUGAGGUCAGGAGUUCGAGACUAGCCUGGCCAACAUGGUGAAACCCCGUCUCUA
Molecule: non-coding RNA, 117 nt
Filed under: Nomascus leucogenys (northern white-cheeked gibbon)
Lineage: Eukaryota; Metazoa; Chordata; Mammalia; Primates; Hylobatidae
Source: Rfam by way of RNAcentral